RNAcentral lists this ribosomal RNA (871 nucleotides) under uncultured organism. Its description in RNAcentral is "bacterial SSU rRNA". It matches the Rfam family "Bacterial small subunit ribosomal RNA", at positions 1 to 867 of the family's 1533-position model. The record is from RNAcentral.
GGCUUAGAGUUUGAUCAUGGCUCAGGAUGAACGCUAGCUACAGGCUUAACACAUGCAAGUCGAGGGGCAGCAUGAUUGAAGCUUGCUUCAAUUGAUGGCGACCGGCGCACGGGUGAGUAACACGUAUCCAACCUGCCGAUGACUCUGGGAUAGCCUUUCGAAAGAAAGAUUAAUACCGGAUGGCAUAAUUCUUCCGCAUGGUAGAAUUAUUAAAGAAUUUCGGUCGUCGAUGGGGAUGCGUUCCAUUAGGUUGUUGGCGGGGUAACGGCCCACCAAGCCAUCGAUGGAUAGGGGUUCUGAGAGGAAGGUCCCCCACAUUGGAACUGAGACACGGUCCAAACUCCUACGGGAGGCAGCAGUGAGGAAUAUUGGUCAAUGGACGAGAGUCUGAACCAGCCAAGUAGCGUGAAGGAUGACUGCCCUAUGGGUUGUAAACUUCUUUUAUAUAAGAAUAAAGUGCAGUAUGUAUACUGUUUUGUAUGUAUUAUAUGAAUAAGGAUCGGCUAACUCCGUGCCAGCAGCCGCGGUAAUACGGAGGAUCCGAGCGUUAUCCGGAUUUAUUGGGUUUAAAGGGAGCGUAGGUGGACUGGUAAGUCAGUUGUGAAAGUUUGCGGCUCAACCGUAAAAUUGCAGUUGAUACUGUCAGUCUUGAGUACAGUAGAGGUGGGCGGAAUUCGUGGUGUAGCGGUGAAAUGCUUAGAUAUCACGAAGAACUCCGAUUGCGAAGGCAGCUCACUGGACUGCAACUGACACUGAUGCUCGAAAGUGUGGGUAUCAAACAGGAUUAGAUACCCUGGUAGUCCACACAGUAAACGAUGAAUACUCGCUGUUUGCGAUAUACAGUAAGCGGCCAAGCGAAAGCAUUAAGUAU